This 1143-nucleotide ribosomal RNA is filed under the name mouse gut metagenome. RNAcentral describes it as "bacterial LSU rRNA". It matches the Rfam family "Bacterial large subunit ribosomal RNA", at positions 1347 to 2495 of the family's 2925-position model. The record is from RNAcentral.
AAGGUUUCCAGGGUAAAGCUGAUCUGCCCUGGGUAAGUCGGGACCUAAGGCGAGGCCGAGAGGCGUAGUCGAUGGACAACAGGUAGAGAUUCCUGUACUUACGGUAUGAAUGAAGGAGUGACGGAGAAGGCUAGCGGAUCCUGCUGCUGGAAUAGCAGGUGCAAGCGAGGUAGCUGACAGCCAGGCAAAUCCGGCUGUCGAAAGGCGAAGACGUGAAGCGGAUGGAAAGCUGAGGCAAGUACAGAAGUCCGUGAAGCAGGCUUCCAAGAAAAGCUUCUAGUGUUAAUCAUACAGUAACCCGUACCGAAAAUGGACACACAUGGGUGAGGAGAGAAUCCUAAGGUGAGCGAGAGAACUAUAGCUAAGGAACUCUGCAAAAUGACUCCGUAACUUAGGGAUAAGGAGUGCUCAUAGAGAUAUGAGCCGCAGUGAAACGGCCCAAGCGACUGUUUACCAAAAACACAGCUCUAUGCUAAGUCGAAAGACGACGUAUAUGGGGUGACGCCUGCCCGGUGCUGGAAGGUUAAGAGGAUGUGUCAGCGAAAGCGAAGCAUUGAAUUGAAGCCCCAGUAAACGGCGGCCGUAACUAUAACGGUCCUAAGGUAGCGAAAUUCCUUGUCAGGUAAGUUCUGACCCGCACGAAAGGCGUAACGAUUUGGGCGCUGUCUCAGCUGUAGACUCGGUGAAGUCUUAGUACCUGUGAAGAUGCAGGUUACCCGCGACUAGACGGAAAGACCCCAUGGAGCUUUACUGCAGCUUGAUAUUGGACUUUGAUGCAAGAUGUACAGGAUAGGUAGGAGACUGAGAGACAUGCACGCCAGUGUGUGAGGAGUCGAUGUUGGGAUACUACUCUUCUUGUAUUGGAGUUCUAACCGGAUGCCAUGGAACUGGCAACGGGACAGUGUCAGGCGGGCAGUUUGACUGGGGCGGUCGCCUCCCAAAGAGUAACGGAGGCGCCCAAAGAUACCCUCAGCUUGGAUGGAAAUCAAGCGCAGAGUGCAAAGGCAUAAGGGUGUUUGACUGCGAGACCAACAAGUCGAGCAGGGACGAAAGUCGGGCUUAGUGAUCCGGCGGUGCUGAAUGGAAAGGCCGUCGCUCAACGGAUAAAAGCUACCCUGGGGAUAACAGGCUGAUCUCCCCCAA